This 419-nucleotide ribosomal RNA is filed under the name uncultured ammonia-oxidizing beta proteobacterium. Its description in RNAcentral is "bacterial SSU rRNA". It matches the Rfam family "Bacterial small subunit ribosomal RNA", at positions 197 to 597 of the family's 1533-position model. Lineage: Bacteria; Pseudomonadati; Pseudomonadota; Betaproteobacteria. The record is from RNAcentral.
UGGAGGAAAGCAGGGGAUCGCAAGACCUUGCGCUUUUGGAGCGGCCGAUGUCUGAUUAGCUAGUUGGUAGGGUAAAGGCUUACCAAGGCAACGAUCAGUAGUUGGUCUGAGAGGACGACCAGCCACACUGGGACUGAGACACGGCCCAGACUCCUACGGGAGGCAGCAGUGGGGAAUUUUGGACAAUGGGCGAAAGCCUGAUCCAGCCAUGCCGCGUGAGUGAAGAAGGCCCUCGGGUUGUAAAGCUCUUUCAGUCGAGAAGAAAAAAUUGCGACUAAUAAUCGCAAUUCAUGACGGUAUCGACAGAAGAAGCACCGGCUAACUACGUGCCAGCAGCCGCGGUAAUACGUAGGGUGCAAGCGUUAAUCGGAAUUACUGGGCGUAAAGGGUGCGCAGGCGCCUUUGUAAGUCAGACGUGA